CCUACGGGGGGCAGCAGUGAGGAAUAUUGGUCAAUGGCCGGAAGGCUGAACCAGCCAUGCCGCGUGAAGGUCAGUGCCCUAUGGGCGUUAAACUUCUUUUGUGCGGGAGCAAUAAUGGUCACGUGUGGCCAGACGAGAGUACCGUACGAAUAAGCAUCGGCUAACUCCGUGCCAGCAGCCGCGGUAAUACGGGGGAUGCAAGCGUUAUCCGGAUUUACUGGGUGUAAAGGGAGCGCAGGCGGCGCGUUAAGCCUGGUGUGAAAGCCCGCGGCCCAACCGCGGGACUGCAUUGGGAACUGGCGCGCUGGAGUGCCGGAGGGGUAGGCGGAAUUCCUAGUGUAGCGGUGAAAUGCGUAGAUAUUAGGAGGAACACCAGUGGCGAAGGCGGCCUACUGGACGGUGACUGACGCUGAGGCUCGAAAGCGUGGGGAGCAAACAGGAUUAGAUACCCCAGUAGUC
This 459-nucleotide ribosomal RNA is filed under the name uncultured bacterium. RNAcentral describes it as "partial 16S ribosomal RNA". It matches the Rfam family "Bacterial small subunit ribosomal RNA", at positions 338 to 795 of the family's 1533-position model. The record is from RNAcentral.